UUAUCACAAACAUACAGGCAUAAAAAUAUAUGCCAUCUUACUUCUGGGCGUGCAAUUAAAAAAUUCAAUUUGUCUAUUAAAGGUAAAGUCAUUUUCAUAAAAUCAAUUUGGUUAUUGAAGGUAAAGUCAUUUUCAU
This is a long non-coding RNA of Acipenser ruthenus (sterlet), 136 nucleotides long. RefSeq lists it as uncharacterized. The transcript is spliced from 2 exons. NCBI's taxonomy places the organism in Eukaryota, Metazoa, Chordata, Actinopteri, Acipenseriformes, Acipenseridae. The record is from RefSeq and is a predicted model, not a curated record.